RNAcentral lists this ribosomal RNA (119 nucleotides) under Labrus bergylta (ballan wrasse). Lineage: Eukaryota; Metazoa; Chordata; Actinopteri; Labriformes; Labridae. The record is from RNAcentral.
GCUUACGGCCAUACCACCCUGAACAUGCCCGAUCUCGUCCGAUCUUGGAAGCUAAGCAGGGUCGGGCCUGGUUAGUACUUGGAUGGGAGACCACCUGGGAAUACCAGGUGCUGUAAGCU